GUGGCAAGCAGUUUUCUGCAUUGAAGGCCAUAUUGUCUUUGAGAGGGUCCAGCAAACAUUCCAGACAGGACAGCGUUCUCCAUCUUCUUCAUCUUCAGCCUCCAAUAUCAACAUGAGGCAGCCAAGACUUUGAUUCAUUCAACGGUAAAACCAUUCUUAUAAAUUUUUUUUUACAAUGACAUGGUUUUAAAGCAAGUUAUGAUUAACAUUUGUCAAAGGUGGUGAUGUUUUCUCUUUACGUAAUUAAAAACAGCUUUAUUUAUAUAUUAUACCAGCUGUAUUCAAAAUGCCACACUAUUUAUAUUCUCAGGAAUUUUCCCAUUUUUGAUUUUGUUUUUUAGUCGCUUCAUUGGGAUUAACCCAGAAAGGGGCACAAAAGCCGGUCAUGGAAAAAUGGUAUCCAGAAAGACAGGAAAGACCAUUCAAAAGAAAAAGUGACAGUCAAUGUUCAGGUUUCCACGCUCAUCAAAAACUUGAUGGACUUUGAGUGGCAACUCAUUCAGUAAGUGCCACUUGGACUCUUGAAAACCAUUAAUGGUUCACAUUUUAAAACCCUGUUAAUACUAGAAUUCCACAUUAUUUCAGCCAUGUUGAAUUUUAGAUUUUGGAAGUAAUUUUUCUUUGAUUUGUUUAGUGAUACCCAAAGCAUGGGCAUUUCUUUAAGAACUGUGUUUUUAUGUUCAUAAGAUUGUAGAAAUUAAUGAGUUAAACCCAGUUUAUGUCGCUGUAAAAUUAAAGUCUUAAAUUUUUAUUCCAGUGUUAGUGAAACUAUAUAUGGACUUUGAAGGCCUAUUUUUUUUACCAGUUCUCUGAGGAAUGGUUUUGUUAUUUGUUUUGAAUGUUUCAAUAUACUGGAAAUAUAUGUGGUUUGAGGCAUAGUGGUGCCUUUAAAUAAAAAUUAUGUUCUGAAGGUUGCUUAUCACAUCCUCUUCUGUGUUAUGUGAAGUUCUGAUUAUGCAGAUUUUGCAUUUUAGAACCGCACCAAUUGUAGCACUUCUAAGAAGCCUACACUGGAUUGGGUAUUAAUGUCCUAUCAUAAAACUAAGACUGUACUUUAAAAAGUAGCAUUACAGUUUUCUUUGCAGUAGCUUACUCAUAAAGUGAAUGCAGUAGUAAAACUAAAUUUACAGUAAAAAUACUGGAACGCUACUAUUUGAAGGUAUAUUAACUUUCACCACUGUAUUUUACGGUGGCCAACAGGUGCAAAGACGCAAAAAACACAUGCAACAAAAAAGAUGCAAACAAAAAAUGCUGAAAACAGAAGUGAUCCAGACCACUAGAGGGAGUCGAACAAAGAACAGCUGUGUCCGAAGUCAGGUUUUGCAUCAUUGGGUCUUCGAGGACCGGAAGAGAGAAGCUGUAGCUUUCAGCUAGCUGCUUAGCCUCUACCGUGGCGUUAUGUUGCUUAGCAGCCGUGACAACGUGAAUCAUAUAGCGGCGAAGGAAAAAAAAACGGACUGGAAGUAUGUUGUUUUUUUUUUUUUUUUCUCCUGAAUCCCUUUUCAAAUACUCUCCAAAUCUCAGGUUGCUAAACGCUGAGGUGGAGGCUAGGCAGCUAGCUGAAGGCUACAGCUUCUCUCUGCAAUGCUCUCUGCCUUCGCAGGACCCCUCUUCCGUAGACCGGGUCGUUUCUCAAGCCCAUGGCAGAAUAAGCUUGAAAGGAUGCAGACCCUGAACUCGGACACAAAGCUCUAGUGGUCUGGAACACUUAUUGUUAUGUAUAUUUUGAAUGUCUUUUUUGUUUGCGCCUUUGUUCUACUUGUUUUUCUCGUGUUUGCUGUGCGUUUGCACCUGUCGGCCACCGUAGUAUUUUAACGAUUCUGUAUUUUAGUUCUGCUGGGCUCCAUAUGGUUAUGUGUAUUUGUUAUAAGUUGCAUUGUGAUCACUGUUAUGUGUAGAGUGUUAUGGGCUUCCCCUGUCUGACUGCUGACUCCCCCUCACAUGUGAUGGACCUGUCAUAUGGGCAAGGGAUCAGGGGAGCGGGAGGACCAGGACCGAUGCUGACAGAACACCGGAAGAGCAGAGAGUUCAGUGUGUUAGCAGUGAAGCUAUUCAAUUGAGUGUAUCGGUUUGUUAAAGGGCCGAGCUGCAGCCUAAGGAAUAGCAGCUCGCUUUUAUUUCUAAUAAACCCUGUUGACGGUACCACAUCUGCGGUGUGUUGGCGUCAUUACAGUAUUUACUUACAGUACACCACUUUAAAAGGUACAGGAUUGAAAAGGUAAAUGUCCAGUAAAAUAAUAGUAUCUACAGACGCCGGUUUUUUUUUUUUUUUUUUUUAAACCGUUUUUCUGAAAGAAUGGU
Poecilia latipinna (sailfin molly) is the source of this 2301-nucleotide long non-coding RNA. RefSeq lists it as uncharacterized. The record is from RefSeq and is a predicted model, not a curated record. Lineage: Eukaryota; Metazoa; Chordata; Actinopteri; Cyprinodontiformes; Poeciliidae. The transcript has 2 exons.